GAUGAACGCUGGCGGCGUGCCUAAUACAUGCAAGUCGAGCGAACGGACGAGAAGCUUGCUUUUCUGAUGUUAGCGGCGGACGGGUGAGUAACACGUGGAUAACCUACCUAUAAGACUGGGAUAACUUCGGGAAACCGGAGCUAAUACCGGAUAAUAUUUUGAACCGCAUGGUUCAAAAGUGAAAGACGGUCUUGCUGUCACUUAUAGAUGGAUCCGCGCUGCAUUAGCUAGUUGGUAAGGUAACGGCUUACCAAGGCAACGAUGCAUAGCCGACCUGAGAGGGGGACCGGCCACACUGGAACUGAGAAACGGUCCAGACUCCUACGGGAGGAAGCAUUAGGGAAUCUUCCGCAAUGGGCGAAAGCCUGACGGAGCAACGCCGCGUGAGUGAUGAAGGUUUUCGGAUCGUAAACCUCUGUUAUUAGGGAAGAACAAAUGUGUAAGUAACUGUGCACAUCUUGACGGUACCUAAUCAGAAAGCCACGGCUAACUACGUG
RNAcentral lists this ribosomal RNA (497 nucleotides) under uncultured bacterium. RNAcentral's name for it is "partial 16S ribosomal RNA". It matches the Rfam family "Bacterial small subunit ribosomal RNA", at positions 28 to 507 of the family's 1533-position model. The record is from RNAcentral.